GUAAUGAUGAUGGUUUGGAGCACAGCAGAAUCCAUGUCAUCUCUUCCGAGAGAAAACGUACGAGAUACUAACCGGGUCGAAGUGGUCCCUGAGGAGGCCCUUGCUGGGCGACGCCUUCUUGACCUCGGCGACGAGCGCGGGGACGGCGUUGCGGCGGCACGCGGCGCGCAGCGCGCCGACGAAGUCCCUGGGCGGCGGCGCGAGCGCGGCGGACGCCUUCACCUCGCACAGCGGCGUCCUGGCCUUGCGCUGGGCCACCUCCACCUCCUUGUCCCAGAUGAUCUGCUCCAGGAUGUUGCGCGGGACGGCGCGCUCGGCGCCGGUGCCCUCGGACGGGUACCUGGGCCGGCAGCGCCGCCGGAUCUGGAUGCCCUGCGCCGUGGCGAUGGCGUUCAUGGACUUGCCGCUCUCCCACUGGAUCACCUCCGCCGACCGGAACAGCGCGUCGUCCAGCAGCCUGCUGUACACGACCGCCGAGUCCUUGGUGGCGCUGCUGGUGCUGCUGCACCUGCAGCGGAAGCCUCGCCCGGUGGUGCGGGG
This 540-nucleotide unclassified non-coding RNA is filed under the name Zea mays. RNAcentral's name for it is "misc RNA Zm00001eb309270". The record is from RNAcentral. Lineage: Eukaryota; Viridiplantae; Streptophyta; Magnoliopsida; Poales; Poaceae.